GGAAUCAUCUGCUAAACUACUAGAGAUGUGGCCUUUCCAUGUUGUACAGGCUGGUCUUGGACUCCUGGACUCAAAUGAUUCAACUGCCUUGGCCUCCUAAACUGUUGGGAAUACAGGCAUGAGCCACUGCGCCUGGCCCUAACAAAAAUUUUCAAAAAGGAUAUCAAAGAAUCUACUUGACCUGCAAUUGACAUAAAUGCCUCCUGAUAUGGUUUGUCUGUGUCCUGGCCCAAAUCUCAUCCUGAAUUGUAGCUCUCAUAAUUCCUACUUGUUGCGGCAGGGACCUGGUGGGAGGUGAUUGAAUCAUGAGGGUGGGUCUUUCUCAUGCUGUUCUUGUGAUAGCGAGUAAGUCUCACUAUAUCUGAUGGUUUUAUAAAGGGGAAUCCCCUCACACAAGCUCUCUUGCCUGACACCAUGCAAGACGUGACUUUGCUCCUCCUUUGCCUUUCACCAUGACUGUGAGGCCUCCCCAGCCACAUGAAACUGUGAGUCAAUUAAAUCUCUUUUCUUUGUAAAUUACUCAGUCUUGAGUAUGUCUUAAUAGCAGCAUGAGAACAGAAUAAUACACCUCCUAAAACAAACUUCAAUAUCCUUUAACAUAAUAGAACAAAAUCCAGUCAACAACGUAAUGUUCACCAUGUCUGUGUCUGGCACUUAAUAAUAAUAAUAAUAAAAUGCUACACAUGUGAAGUAGCAACAUUUU
RNAcentral lists this long non-coding RNA (703 nucleotides) under Homo sapiens (human). Its description in RNAcentral is "HSALNT0018956". Lineage: Eukaryota; Metazoa; Chordata; Mammalia; Primates; Hominidae. The record is from RNAcentral.